ACCACUUUCGACACCGGAUCUCUUGGUUCUCCCAUCGAUGACGAACGCAGCGAACCGCGAUAGGUAAUGUGAAUUGCCGACUUCCGUGCAUCCUCGACUCUUUGACCGCACCUUGCGCUCCAUGGUAUUCCGUGGAGCAUGCCUGUUUGAGUGCCGCG
This 158-nucleotide ribosomal RNA is filed under the name Malassezia pachydermatis. RNAcentral's name for it is "5.8S ribosomal RNA". It matches the Rfam family "5.8S ribosomal RNA". Rfam says of the family: 5.8S ribosomal RNA (5.8S rRNA) is a component of the large subunit of the eukaryotic ribosome. Lineage: Eukaryota; Fungi; Basidiomycota; Malasseziomycetes; Malasseziales; Malasseziaceae. The record is from RNAcentral.